This 253-nucleotide ribosomal RNA is filed under the name uncultured bacterium. RNAcentral describes it as "partial 16S ribosomal RNA". It matches the Rfam family "Bacterial small subunit ribosomal RNA", at positions 524 to 776 of the family's 1533-position model. The record is from RNAcentral.
GACGGGGGAGGCAAGCGUUAUCCGGAAUCACUGGGCGUAAAGCGUCUGUAGGUGGUGAUGCAAGUCACUGGUGCAAAACUCUGGCUCAACCGGAGGAAGGCCAGUGAAACUGCAUGACUAGAGCGUGGGAGAGGUAGAAGGAAUUCCCUGAGUAGCGGUGAAAUGCGUAGAUACAGGGAAGAACACCGGAGGCGAAAGCGUUCUACUGGAACACAACUGACACUGAGAGACGAACGCUAGGGGAGCGAAUGGG